CAUUUGCGUCCGCCCGGGUACAGGAAACUGAGCUCCGCGGUACGCUCGGCCACACUAGACAGAGUGCCUGCUAUGCGCUCACCUCCUGCCGGUCACUCCGGCUUUGCGCCCACCGGGCCGGUGCCGCCUUGUGUAUGCGCCGGCGGAACGCACCCUCCCUCCGGCGACCUAUGGCCGCGUGCCCACAGAGGGGGCUCGGCGUGCCACCUGUGGCACGCAUGCCAUAGGUUCGCCAUCACUGGUCUAAAUGCCAUCACUGGUCUAGCUUAUGAAGCCUUCCCACGCCCUGCUAUUUGUCUUAGAGAGCUUUGAUUG
Pelobates cultripes (western spadefoot toad) is the source of this 315-nucleotide non-coding RNA. The record is from the annotation of a GenBank genome assembly. NCBI's taxonomy places the organism in Eukaryota, Metazoa, Chordata, Amphibia, Anura, Pelobatidae.